This 993-nucleotide long non-coding RNA is filed under the name Vigna radiata. RNAcentral describes it as "long non-coding RNA (VRAD_LNC014396)". Lineage: Eukaryota; Viridiplantae; Streptophyta; Magnoliopsida; Fabales; Fabaceae. The record is from RNAcentral.
GGGAGCAGCGUUGAACUUUUGGUACACAUGUCAAUGUAAUUGCUUACAGCAUGACCGUAAUCGAUUACACAGGCUCAAAGAGUCUCGAACUCUCAACCACUGAACACGUGUUGGUCCUCAGGAAGGGACAUGUCAUCCCAGACUAUCAACCUAGAAAAUAACCAAGUCAUGACAAACAACAACACACUAGGGAGCCCCCUAUAGCAGAGUCAGGGAGCAGCGUUGGACUUUUGGUACACAUGCCAAUGUAAUCGCACACUGCAUGACCGUAAUCGAUUACAAAGGCGAAUCACUCACACAAUCCCCCUUCCUCACACUUGCACUUGGAUCAAACACUCUUACAGACCUGGAAAAUAACCAAGUCAUGACCAACAGCAGACUGGGGAGCCCCCUCUAGCAGGGGUAGGGAGCAGCGUUGGACUUUUGGUACAAAUGCGAUUGUAAUCGCUUACAGCAUAACCGUAAUCGAUUACACAGGCGAAUCACUCACACAGUCCCCCUUCCUUACACUUGCACUUGGAUCAAACACUCUUAAAAACCUGGAAAAUAACCAAGUCAUGACCAACAACAGCACACUAGGGAGCCCCCUCUAGUAGGGGCAGGGAGCAGCGUUGGACUUUUCGUACAAAUGCGAAUGUAACCGCUUACAGCAUGACCGUAAUCGAUUACACAGGCGAAUCACUCACACAGUCCCCCUUCCUCACAGUUGCACUUGGAUCAAACACUCUUACAGACCUGGAAAAUAACCAAGUCAUGACCAACAACACACUGGGGAGCCCCCUCUAGCAAGGGCAGGGAGCAGCGUUGGACUUUUCGUACAAAUGCGAAUGUAAUCGCUUACAGCAUGACCGUAAUCGAUUACACAGGCGAAUCACUCACACAGUCCCCCUUCCUCACACUUGCACAUGGAUCAUACACUCUUACAGACCCUUAAUCCCAGACUCUCAAUGGUAACCGAUUACAACAUGUUGGUAAUUGAUUACACACGCACUC